AUACGUAGGUGGCAAGCGUUAUCCGGAUUUACUGGGUGUAAAGGGCGUGUAGGCGGUAUACUAAGUCAGAUGUGAAAUCUCCCGGCUCAACCGGGAGCGUGCAUCUGAAACUGGUACACUUGAGUGCUGGAGGGGAAAGCGGAAUUCCUAGUGUAGCGGUAAAAUGCGUAGAUAUUAGGAGGAACACCGGUGGCGAAGGCGGCUUUCUGGAAAGUAACUGAAGCUGAGGCGCGAAAGCGUGGGGAGCAAACAGGAUUAGAUACCCUGGGAGUCCACGCCAUAAACGAUGAAUUCUAAGUGUAGGGGGUAUCGACCCCCUCUGUGCCGGCGUUAACACAUUAAGUAUUCCCCCUGGGGAGUACGGCCGCAAGGCUGAAACUCAAAGGAAUUGACGGGG
RNAcentral lists this ribosomal RNA (397 nucleotides) under uncultured bacterium. RNAcentral describes it as "partial 16S ribosomal RNA". It matches the Rfam family "Bacterial small subunit ribosomal RNA", at positions 523 to 918 of the family's 1533-position model. The record is from RNAcentral.